GAUGAACGCUGGCGGCGUGCUUAACACAUGCAAGACGAACGAUGAAGCCCAGCUUGCUGGGUGGAUUAGUGGCGAACGGGUGAGUAACACGUGAGUAACCUGCCCUUGACUCUGGGAUAAGCCUGGGAAACUGGGUCUAAUACUGGAUAUGACUUCUCAUCGCAUGGUGGGGGGUGGAAAGAUUUAUUGGUCUUGGAUGGACUCGCGGCCUAUCAGCUUGUUGGUGAGGUAAUGGCUCACCAAGGCGACGACGGGUAGCCGGCCUGAGAGGGUGACCGGCCACACUGGGACUGAGACACGGCCCAGACUCCUACGGGAGGCAGCAGUGGGGAAUAUUGCACAAUGGGCGCAAGCCUGAUGCAGCGACGCCGCGUGAGGGAUGACGGCCUUCGGGUUGUAAACCUCUUUCAGUAGGGAAGAAGCGAGAGUGACGGCACCUGCAGAAGAAGCGCCGGCUAACUACGUG
This 466-nucleotide ribosomal RNA is filed under the name uncultured bacterium. RNAcentral describes it as "partial 16S ribosomal RNA". It matches the Rfam family "Bacterial small subunit ribosomal RNA", at positions 28 to 507 of the family's 1533-position model. The record is from RNAcentral.